RNAcentral lists this ribosomal RNA (406 nucleotides) under uncultured bacterium. RNAcentral describes it as "partial 16S ribosomal RNA". It matches the Rfam family "Bacterial small subunit ribosomal RNA", at positions 28 to 526 of the family's 1533-position model. The record is from RNAcentral.
GAUGAACGCUGGCGGCGUGCCUAAUACAUGCAAGUCGAGCGAGCGGCGGACGGGUGAGUAAUGUCUGGGAAACUGCCUGAUGGAGGGGGAUAACUACUGGAAACGGUAGAUAAUACCGCAGAUCAUCAGAUGUGCCAAGAUGGGAUUAGCUAGUAGGUGGGGUAAUGGCUCACCUAGGCGACGAUGCCUAGCUGGUCUGAGAGGAUGACCAGCCCAAAUGGGACUGAGCCACGGUCCAAGCUCCUACGGGAGGCAGCAUGGGGGAAGAUUGCACAAGGGGCGAAAGCCUGAAGCAGCCAUGCCGCGUGUGUGAAGAAGGCCUUCGGGUUGUAAAGCACUUUCAGCGAGGAGGCGUUACUCGCAGAAGAAGCACCGGCUAACUCCGUGCCAGCAGCCGCGGUAAUUC